UGCAGAGCAACCUCCUUUUAGAGUCUCCUUUCAGAGCCCAUGUACUCUGGGACUUGUGAAAGUGACCGGUGAGACUAACAGAAACAGUGUGGGCCGGGACACGGUGUCCCUGUGCGAAGGAGAUUUUCUGUACUUGGGAGCCGAGGCCUUCUUAAAAGCUGAUGCUAUUGAGCUGUAAUGCCGCAGAUUCUGCAGAGAUUUUCAGCGUCCCGUGGUCCCAGGUUUUCUCUCAUUGAGACAUGCUUUGCAUCUCAUAAUUAAUUGGCCAUAUGGUCACUCUGGCAAGUAAAACUCCCCCCUGUGAGCGAUUGUUGCAUUUGAAAUGUUCUCGUCUAAAACUUACACACUCUUUUAUAGGGAAAUCUAAACGGGCCUGGCAUAUAGUUCGUAUAGAGGCUGAAAGAUUGAUUUUACAAGUCAAAUAUUGAUUUCAUUCAAUUUUAGUGUUGUCUGCGACAAAGAAAUUAAAUUGCUUUUUAAUCACCGUAAUCCCAAGAUAAUGCCACCGCAGAAUAACUUUGAAAUGUGACCGCACCUCCAGGAGGCAGGAGACAGAGUGGAGGAAGAGCUGCUUUAAAUGACGUACGCUGUGGCGUCCCAGAUGUUGCCCCUCAUUAAUAUCAGUCUUGUAUCCAUUACAGGUUCCUGUGUAUGCUAGUCAACACACACUAAUGUGUCAUAUAUCACGUACAAACAAGAUCAAGCCCACACAUUAAAAGUUAAUUUUACUAAAUAAACUUGGAGCAUAAUAAGUGCAUGUAUGUAUGAUUUCUCGCCCUUGUUUUGGAAUUUAUGAAAACAGGGUUGAUGGCCUUUAAGAAAACAUACAAUUGUAUUUUUUCAAGAUGUUAACAUUGAAGGUAGAUGCAAAAUAAUGUUUAACUGCAAUAUAUAUUUUUUAAUUUAAAUGAUUUAAGCAAUACAUCACAAUUUGUAGCAUUUGAGCUUGCAACAGACUGCAUUUUCACCAUAUGGGGAAACCCUGAUAGACAUUAAUAUUUAGAAUGCCUUAAUAUCCAGUGCAUAUCAUCAAUUGAUCAAAAUGAUCAAUGUCUUUAACCAGAAGGGGGUCAACAAACAGCACUGAAAGGCUAUAAGUGAUACUCUUAUCUGGAUACUAAAUGGAGUACAGGUGUGCGGUGAGCAUCCAGUCCAUCUGUCAGCUGUCCAAACGAUGCUCAGAGUGUCCCACCGAUUCACUUCAUGGGAAUUCUCUCCCCUCAUGCUCUGCAAAUCACGCAUCCACACAAGCAAGACGUCUGCUCCUACAGAUGGCUAAGAGAAAUAUACAGAGAUGAUUACGAGGGAACCCAGAUCCAGUUAGUGCAGCAUGUGUCCCUUUCAUCCUUUGUAUAUAUUUCUGGCUCGUCCGUUUUACCCCAAUUAUUAUUAUUAUUUUACUGCAUUUCCUGCUUUAAUGACUUUUUAACAUGUCAUCUCUGUGCACACAAGUUGACUGAUGAAUUAAUUGGCUGUCCAUAGAUUGUAUCGAGAAUACAAAUCAAUUGAUUGGGAAACGAAAGUGAUGAAAGAUUAAAGGUCAUAAUUCUGAGGUGCCCACUGCUCUCUGGGCUUCUAACAGCCAUCUUGCCUAAUUAAAUACCAGCUGUAUAAGUUUGUAAAGUAAGCUAUGAGCUAACUGCACCGUGGAUACGGGGAUUAUGUAAGAACAUGAGCAGAGAUUCCCCAGGUGACUGGAACGGGUUUAAGGAGGUUUAGUAUUACAAAUGUAUAGGAUUGAAUAUAAUGGAGGCAGGCCAGAUGGAAUUGUUGGCUUCACCUGGGGUUCAGUACAUCAAGCAGUCGAUGCAGGGCAGCCAUUAAACAGCCCGGCCCACGCCCCCAUGGGCCCCAUGAAGCCUGGGAAAGGAUACUCUUAUCUGCAGGAUUAGAACCCUUAGUCUAACCUGGAAGACCCACCGCUGCAGCCUACACAGAUGCACAGCCCUGGUGAGCAGGUCCAGGGGAGCCUCUUAUCACGCGGAGAGCUGGUAAUGGAUGGUACGGCUUGCCAGGGCUUGUACGUGAAGCAUAAAGCAUGCUUGCAUUAAGCCUGCGGGAGUUCAAGGCCAGGCUUGACGCAGUGAACCAGGGUUCCAGAGGAAGGAGGGCCAUAGCAGUUUUGAAGACUUCAUACGAACAUCUACGUCUAAGUGCAAUCAAAGGCAUACAUGGGGGUUGAUCAUUUAAGGAAUCAUAACUGGGCAGUACACCCCCCAAUAAAUUGUUUUGAUAAAUACAAAAUGGCAUACCCACACCCCCCUACACGGAUGUGUGUGCACCUCAACCCCUCCAAUGAGUAUGCCUGUGUGAGUACAUGCCUGAGUGUGUGUGUGAGUAAGUAUCGAUGUACAGUAUACAGUAUGUGUGUGUGUACACGUCUGAGUGUGUGUGUUCGUGUCUGCGUGCGUGUGUGGGUGGAUCAAAACCGGUACAGCCUCCAGCUUGUCGAACUGAGACCCCCACUGCCCCAAACAUCUCGACUGGCAGCCAUACUCUGACUAGCUGCCUGGCCUGGUGCUCAGCCCAUUACGGUUGGCCUCCCAUCGAUUCUACACUUAUAAUUUGCCUGUGUUUUCUCUCCAGGAACAAAGGGCCGCCCAGGGUGCGCCCAGGACGUACCAUCUGCACACAGACCCGGGCGCCAGCUCUCCUCGCCGCUGUGCCUUUUCAGGCCUCCUUUUAUUUAUUCAUGUUUCUUAUUCUCCACCUGCUAUCGGUAACAAGCCACAACCGCCGCUGUUUUUCUCCACCUCCACGCAGAGGCCCCUGACGUGGAGAAUAACUCAGAGAGGCGCCGCCAGAAAUCCCCGCCGUGGCUCACGUUCGAGUGCCGCCUCGUAGCGCCGGUCUUGUUGCGGAUGCAUUCGGGGUGUGGACACUGGAGGGUUUCCUACGGGAAGUCGCCUCGGGCGACCGGUCUCUGCAGGGCCAUAACCUGGGGGACCCCCCGUGGUUGCUUCACUCUCAGAAAUAAAAUAUGAGAGUGGAGGUCUGUUUUCGUUCUUCGAGGAUCAAAUUUCCCCUGAAAGUAAUGUUCUCUUUGGGUACAUAUGAGUACAUUUCCAAACCAAAAAGGCACGGUUCCUGCCUUUAUUUCCGAGAGCGCACGGAUACGGUUGAGGAAAGGUUACGCUCGCGAGGAACAGACUGCAUAUCCCACAGCCUGUCAGUGGAGACUCGGAGCUCACACAGGUACACUGAAGUCUGGCAGAGCCAGAGCCCAGCUGGAGCAGAAUGAGGAGCGGCGCGGACGCAGGAAUGCAGGGUGUUCAAACAAAAGCAAGAGCCUCUGCAAAAUGAGCAAAACAAAAGCGUGUCAUAUCUGGGGGGCUGGCAGCCGAUCCAAACCGCCUGUUCCGGGAGACGCGGGCGGGGGGACGGAGAUGAAAGGGGCAGCUGUCGGACACAGAGGGGGUGUGACGAGAGUCAACGACAGGCGUGGGACUGUGACAACCUGGACCAGAAACGCACAAAACCAUCGACCGAAUAAACAGCUUUUUAUCACACGAAACACGGCGCAAUAAGAGACCUGGGAAUCAAUGGAUCAACCUAGUGUUUCCUGCGUUUCAACUGAUUCUCCAAUGGAACGAUGCAAGAAUAAGCCAAAAGGGAAACAGAGAGAAGCUUAAGAGACAAAAGGAAUCAUUGUCACGUAAAUGUUUUUUUGAAAUGGUACCAUCACUUUUUCAGAUCAUGUUUUCCUCUCAGUCUGCUGUACUUCCAGUGAAUUGUUUGAAAUACGGCGUAGAAAACUUAGAUGAAAAUUAUAAGCUUAAACCAAAAUAUUUAAUUUUGUAUUUCUGAAGACAAAAACAUUAGAGAAACCUGAAAAGCUAGCAGCCUGAUUGCUCACAAUACUCUGGCACAUAAAACAUUCUGACAACGUGGCUACAACAUUGCAAUGCAUGCUGAUGCAGUCAACAUCAGGGGGAGAAGAAAGGAAACGGAGGAAAGAGAGAUCUCAGGAGGUCUUCCUCUACCCCUCUGCUUUGUGCGGUCCCCCUGAUGAGGACUGUACACACCAGGAGGUUAGCGACUCGGUGUUUAUUAUGCAUGACGCGACACGCAGGUUUUACCACUGCCGUAAUGGGCCUCUCAUGAAUUAGGAGGCUCUGACUGACAGGAUCAGCGUUUGUCAAACAGACACAAAACACUUUCUGCCCGUGUUUCCACACGGUCGUCGCGGUUUCACAUAUCAAAACGCACGCAGCAUGAAAGCGCCGUGCAUGUCGAAGUACAGGGAAACGCAGGAGAAUUGCGUUUGAACGUUUGAAUUAUUGCACACCCCAAAAGCAACGGUCAAUCAGUCGAUAAUUUAAAAGCAACUGAGGCCACUACAGAUUUAAGAUUUUAUAGCUGCAUUUCUAUUGAAAACCUGUCCAGGCCUCAGCAUUAAAAGAAAAAGAAAAAAGAGUAAAGUGAACUGUGAAAUGUGAAUCAUGGAAAAGGCAACAUGUAAUGUCUCCCUGUGUAAUCAGCUUGCACAGCCGUGGCCAAUCCGCACCGAGCGUUGGUGCUGAUGCUCCAUUUUAAUGGCGGAAAGCGCUGGAGCGGCUCACACCUUAUUUCCUGGGACAUCAACUUGAGUAUGUUUAAAAAUAGCAACACAUUAAUUUAUUUCCGUUUUAAUUUUGCCAGGAUUUCUCUAGGUUCAGAAUAACCAAUUAAAUCUGUUUGUCUGGAUCACUGCCAUCUCCUUUGUCAGGUGAGAAUACCACACACACCGAUUUGGAGCAGACCUGUCAUCCGAUGCUAGUGCAGAGAAGGGAAGGGGGGUGGGGGCUGCAUACAUCUUUCAUACAGAUCUCAUACAGUACAAUUCGGCCCAUCUACCCUGUUUUAACACGGUAAGCCACCCAGUAGCUGAAGAUGUCUGGAACUGGCCAUAUGAGGCUAGGUGUGGUGCCCCGUUCAUAAAUAAGCCAUCUAAGAGGAAGAGUUCAGAGAUUGAAGUUCCGCUUUAUGAGAUCAAUAAAUGUAUGCAUAUCACUUACAUUGCUCCUAUGACGUAUUAUAUAUAUAUAUAUAUAUAUAUAUAUAUAUAUAUAUACUGGUAAUCAAGUGAUGGCAUGAAAGUUAAUCUUUAUUUGUACUCGUUCAACAGCAGUGUAUGUGAAUUUGACGUACCUGAUGAGGGCAAGGGCAUAGGUUUACUUCGGAGAGCGGCAGGGACAAAUCAGCGGGGUUUCUGGGGGUCACCCCCAAAAAACUUUAAAACACAUUUCCUUUAAUGUAUGCCUAUGUUUCUGACUGUUUUAUUUUUUAUUUCUUAGCCGCAUUAUGGCUUCCUUGACUUUCAAGGCGACAUGGCUCAGGCAGUAAGAGCAGUCAUCUGGCAGUCGGAGGGUUGCCGGUUCGAUCCCCCACCUGGGCUGUGUCGAAGUGUCCCUGAGCAAGACACCUAACCCCCAAAUGCUCCUGACGAGCUGGUCGGGGCCUUGCAUGGCAGCCAAUCGCCGUCGGUGUGUGAGUGUGUGUAUGAAUGGGUGAAUGGAGAAGCAUCAAAUUGUCCAGCGCUUUGGAUAAAGGCGCUAUAUAAAUGCCUGCCAUUUACCAUUUACUUUCACUGGUGAAACUCUGGUCCUCAUGUUGACAAAUGCCAAUAACUCCAAUAACUCCAAAGGCAAUAAAAAUCAAAUACAUCUGACUACUCUGAAAAACACUGUCCAAUUACAUUUGUCCCCCUACAAUUGGGGGACCAAGUAUAAAAACUGAUGUAAUUCCUACAUGGAUCACCUGAUAUGGAUGUAAACACCCUCAAAUUAACCAUACAUUGCCUUUUGGCCCUAUAUUCCUUCAUACUAUUUGCCUCUUUCCUGAUUUUAUCUAUUUUUGCUUAUUUGUCACACUAAAUUGGUUUCAGAAAAAAAAGAGACAAUAUGUAAUAUUAGACAAAUGAAAACUUUCAAGGCACUGUAUUCUGUUAUACUAUUCUUUGUGAGUGCUGUUGUUUUUCUACUCACUGCAGAUUCAGCAGUAUCAUGAUUGCUGCUAGUGCAGUUGAUCGGUGUAAUUUGUCACACUAAUGUUGUUGUCCAUAGCAGUCCAGUCAGUCUAACGGCUCCAAAAUAAAGUCCAACUGCUUUAAUAAUGCAGUUGGACCAUGCAUCGCUACCACAAGAUAAUUCAUCACCCGAAAUCAUGAAGAUAUUUUCUUCCCUGAAAUAUUUCCAUGUAGACCCUUUAUUGACUGUGAACAGUGUACAUAAGCUCCGUUUUACUGUGUACAACACAUUUCUGGCUAAAUAGGCAGACAUCUUGGUCAACAACCAAACCCAUUUGUAGAUUCCUGCUCGGUUCAGCUCAUGAUCUGUAUUCGGACAAACUGAAACACUGCUAAAGAAAGAAAUGAGGCUAAAGAUUUGGCCUCAUUUACAACUGAAUCUAGAUUUACUGCAUCUGUAGUAAUUAUUAUUAUUUACAAGGGAAACACAUUCUCACCAAAAGCACUUCAUUUUGAUACAUCCUCCAGAAGAUUGCUAUACAGAUACCCAGGGCUUUGUUUUGUAAUAGGUUCCUUUAACUAAAUUUAAAAAGCCUACAAACAGAGGAUGGGAAAAGCAAUUAGAAUCUUUAUUAUACGAGUGAGAAACUGUAAAAUGUCCAGUAACUUUGUGGGGAUAUUAAUAUUUUAGUGUUAAUUUACACCGGAUAUCCAAUUAAUCAAGGAUAAAAUGUAAAACAAAGUGCCCUACUGAAAUGUACUGUUUUCUUUUGCCAAGGGAUCACACUACAGUAAUUAGCUCACUCCUGCUUUCCUUUAUUCCCUGUUCUGUUUCUCCAGGUAAUUCUGCACGUCCUCUGUAUGAUCAAAAACACUUCUGUGGUGGUGCAGGCACUGUAAAAGUCAUUAGGAACCAGGGCUACUACUCAAUACUGCUUUGAGUAACCACCUGACCAUAACAACCUUACCGAGAUAAAUUUUGAUCCGAGAAUGCUGAAUCUAAAAUUUUACAAUAAUUUUAGUGCCGAAUCAUUCCAUGACAAGCUACUUACAGGGCUGAGUUUCAAGUGAAUUAUACAAUGAAUUAAAUAUGUGACACUGCUGCUUCCUGUAAUUGUAAUUACAUUAGCACUUCCAUAUUACUGGAGCACGCCAUUUCUUUUCAUUUGUUCUUAUUUCCCCUGUGACAGUUAUGUGAGCUUUUAAAGAUGAUAAGAGCACGGAGGCUGAUUAAUGACUUCGUAAUUUUUUAAUUUUAGGCUGCAGACUAUAAAUAAUUCUGUUGUGGGCAACAGCUUCAUAAGCUGGUAAAAAGGGAUAUUUCCUUAAAAUGGCUGGCACUUUAAAAAUCUGAGGCAAUGCACUGUACCUACUCCUUUAAAGCCACAGUGUUUCUUUUUGUACCACAGCCUUGUAAGCAUUUGCUAGCCCACAUAUUGGAAGUAAAUAAUGAGAUCUCCUGUGUAUGGUGACAAAGUGUCUGUGAAGGCAAUCCUUUUUCUGGCAGGAGAAAAUGAAGUUAACGUUUUUUUUUUUGUUCCUUGUUCCGCAAAUGGGAAUUUCGCUGGCGAGUGACUGAGGCUGUGCCUUUCUCCUAGCAGACUGCAGAACCCGGCACUACGGAUUUCUUUAUAGUGGGAGGAUUAAAACAUGUAGGUUGUCUUGAUCGGCAAUGCAGGAGGAGGGACACACUGAGCAGAAAGGGAGAGUGAGAGAGAGACAGAUAGAGGGUGAAAGAGAUUGAGAAAAUGCUGUGAUUAAACUGGCCAUGCAGAUGUCCUACUUACACAAAGGCUUCACUCUCAUAAACCGAGGCCUUUCCUUCCCAUAUUGAAACUGCGAUGUAAAGUUUGGCCACAUGUGAGUGAGGUAGAUGCUGUCCUGCAGAUCUGUGGACCUACAUCAGCAGGCCGCCCAAAUAAAUGCAAUAAUGGGUCUGCCGAUCUGCCCAUGCAGGCCAGGUGAAGGGGAGAGAGAGGGAGAGAGAGAGAGCGCGUCUCCAACAGAGCCGUGCGCAGUGGGCUUCCUCACUCGGCUGUCCUCUGCCUCCAGACCCAGUCAUCCAAGAAAACCCAGUGCCACCAACCCCAAUAGAGAGCCAUCAACACAGCAACGGGGCAUGCAGACAGAGCGAGGGCAAGGAACACGGUCAAAUCUAUGAGCGCAAUGACCUGGAACAUUUCACUUUUUUUUGUUGAUAAACUGAAGAAUGUACACUGAGUGGACUGAUAUAACCUUCUGUUUCUCUCCAGAACCUUUUCUGGAAUGGGGGCUUUUCCAUUAUGAGCACUGAAAUGGAUUUGUUUGCCUGUUUUCCUGUUGGGUAGUUCCAUGUUAUGGAAUGUCUGGGAAGCCAAAUGGAAAAAUUCAUU
Molecule: long non-coding RNA, 8319 nt
Organism: Conger conger (European conger)
Lineage: Eukaryota; Metazoa; Chordata; Actinopteri; Anguilliformes; Congridae
Exons: 3
Source: RefSeq, a predicted model, not a curated record